UACGUAGGGUGCGAGCGUUGUCCGGAAUUAUUGGGCGUAAAGAGCUCGUAGGCGGUGUGUCGCGUCGGCCGUGAAAACCUGGGGCUUAACUCUGGGCGUGCGGUCGAUACGGGCAUCACUAGAGUUCGGCAGGGGAGACUGGAAUUCCUGGUGUAGCGGUGAAAUGCGCAGAUAUCAGGAGGAACACCGGUGGCGAAGGCGGGUCUCUGGGGCUUAUCUGACGCUGAGGAACGAAAGCCAGGGGAGCGAACGGG
RNAcentral lists this ribosomal RNA (254 nucleotides) under uncultured bacterium. RNAcentral describes it as "partial 16S ribosomal RNA". It matches the Rfam family "Bacterial small subunit ribosomal RNA", at positions 524 to 776 of the family's 1533-position model. The record is from RNAcentral.